Small nucleolar RNA from Papaver somniferum (opium poppy), 105 nucleotides. RefSeq annotates it as small nucleolar RNA Z103. The record is from RefSeq and is a predicted model, not a curated record. NCBI's taxonomy places the organism in Eukaryota, Viridiplantae, Streptophyta, Magnoliopsida, Ranunculales, Papaveraceae. The transcript has a single exon.
AUGGAGGUGAUGAUCCUUUCCCCAUAUUAUCGACUAUGAUUAUAAUAUGCGUUUUGUUUAAAUCUCUCUCAACAGGAGAUUUUCCAAGCCAGUACUCUGAUCCAU